This 441-nucleotide ribosomal RNA is filed under the name uncultured bacterium. Its description in RNAcentral is "bacterial SSU rRNA". It matches the Rfam family "Bacterial small subunit ribosomal RNA", at positions 50 to 516 of the family's 1533-position model. The record is from RNAcentral.
AACACAUGCAAGUCGAACGUGAAGCCCGGGCUUGCCCGGGUGGAAAGUGCGAACGGGUGCGUAACACGUGAGCAACCUGCCCCGAAGACCGGGAUAACCCGGGAAACCGGUGCUAAUACCGGAUGCCCUCAUCAUGUCGCAUGGCGAAUGAGGAAAUGGAUUCCGCUUCGGGAUGGGCUCGCGGCUUAUCAGCUUGUGGUGAGGUAAUGGCUCACCAAGGCUACGACGAGUAGCUGGUCUGAGAGAUGUCCAGCCACACUGGGACUGAGACACGGCCCAGACUCCUACGGGAGGAGCAGUGGGGAAUCUUGCACAAUGGGCGAAGGCCUGAUGCAGCGACGCCCGUGCGGGAUGACGGCCUUCGGGUUGUAAACCGCUUUCAGCAGGGACGAGAUGACGGUACCUGCAGAAGAAGCCCCGGCCAACUACGUGCCAGCAGCC